This 403-nucleotide ribosomal RNA is filed under the name bacterium. RNAcentral describes it as "partial 16S ribosomal RNA". It matches the Rfam family "Bacterial small subunit ribosomal RNA", at positions 355 to 776 of the family's 1533-position model. The record is from RNAcentral.
UGGGGAAUAUUGCACAAUGGGGGAAACCCUGAUGCAGCGACGCCGCGUGAACGAAGAAGGUAUUCGUAUCGUAAAGUUCUGUCCUAUGGGAAGAUAACGACAGUACCAUAGAAGAAAGCUCCGGCUAAAUACGUGCCAGCAGCCGCGGUAAUACGUAUGGAGCGAGCGUUGUCCGGAAUUAUUGGGCGUAAAGGGUACGCAGGCGGUUUAAUAAGUCGAAUGUUAAAGAUCGGGGCUCAACCCCGUAAAGCAUUGGAAACUGAUAAACUUGAGUAGUGGAGAGGAAAGUGGAAUUCCUAGUGUAGUGGUGAAAUACGUAGAUAUUAGGAGGAAUACCAGUAGCGAAGGCGACUUUCUGGACACAAACUGACGCUGAGGUACGAAAGCGUGGGGAGCAAACAGG